GAGCGUGUGUGUGUGUGUGUGUGUGUGUGUGUGCGCGCAAGCACCACCCUAA
RNAcentral lists this microRNA precursor (52 nucleotides) under Sorex araneus (European shrew). Its description in RNAcentral is "miRNA (ENSSARG00000017214.1)". The record is from RNAcentral. Lineage: Eukaryota; Metazoa; Chordata; Mammalia; Eulipotyphla; Soricidae.